CAAAAGGCACAGCUCUUGUGGGACAGCAAAGGAAAACAGAAUCAUAGAAAUUCAGAGCUGGAAGAUGACUUAGCCUCUGAGGAAAAUCAUUCCCAGGGACAGUGCGCUUUUUUUUUUUUUUUUUUGGUAACUUUUUAUUUUGUAUUGGGUAUAGCCGAUUACAAUGUUGUGAAAGUUUCAGGUGAAUAGCAAAGGGACUCAGCCAUAUGCGUACAUGUAUCCCAUGGAAUUUUCCAGGCAAGAAUACUGGAGAGGAUUCUUUACCACUAGUCCCAGCUGGGAAGGAUUCUUCACCACUGAGCCACCAGGAAAGCCCUUUGGGAGAACCGAGGCCUCAAGAAGCUAAGAAGUCUGCCCAAAGGCUCACAACUAUUAAAGGACAGAGCUAGGAUCUGGCAAAGAGCCCUAAUGUAAUAAGUAUGGUCCUAUGGCUGAACUUCACCCCUGACUCAACUCCCAGGAGAUGUUAGCUUUCAAAGGCCCGGUUCCCAGAAAACCUUCCACCAUCCUGGCAUCUAGGAAGCUGCCUCCGUCUCUUAUACAAAACACUACUGUGCCCACCUGAUCCCACUUUUUUUUUCAGUCUCCAAAAACGUGAUCGUCUCUCAUGAUGCCAAUUAUGCAGAAACAAUGGACUUCUGCUCAAUAGUUAACUAUUCACCAUGUAUGAAAGAAAAUCCUGGAAUGUUUACUUCAAAUAUGAAAGUGCCGGCUCAAAGGAAAACUCUUUUAAUAAUUCUCUGGAGUAGGGGAAGAGUUCUAGAGGAAGCCUUCUUGCAACUUUAACCAAAAUGUCGUGGAUUGUGUAUACGAUAAGAGCAGAAUGUCUUGAUCCCAGGAGAAUACACAGAAACAGAGGAGGUAAUUGGAUUAAUCAUUUUGACACCUGAAAGGAUGACAAGAAACUUUUAACCUACCAAUAAUCAGCGGAGGGAGCUGUCAUUGUAGAUGGCUCAGCCAAACUAUGGGGUAUCAUCACAUUAGCUAACUGCCUGGCCAAUUAGAGACGUGUAAUUCUUUCAUAUACUUAGCUUGAAAGUGAAGAUGAUUCAAAACAGUUUCCUUGUCUCUGACACGUAUCCAAAUUUUUAAUAACAGCUAAGCCCUUUACUAAGUAAUUGAAUAAAAUAAUGCAUUCAAGCCCC
Bos taurus (domestic cattle) is the source of this 1145-nucleotide long non-coding RNA. NCBI's taxonomy places the organism in Eukaryota, Metazoa, Chordata, Mammalia, Artiodactyla, Bovidae. The record is from Ensembl.